This is a long non-coding RNA of Fopius arisanus, 205 nucleotides long. RefSeq lists it as uncharacterized. The record is from RefSeq and is a predicted model, not a curated record. The transcript has 2 exons. NCBI's taxonomy places the organism in Eukaryota, Metazoa, Arthropoda, Insecta, Hymenoptera, Braconidae.
CCACACGAGAGUAAAACCAACUCCUCUCGCGAGUCCUUCGGGGCAAAAUACCGGGUAGAAAGUCAAAUUACACGGUUUCUUGCCUUCGCCUUCGCCUUCGCCUUCUUUACACUGCCUUCUUCAUUCCACUCUAUUCAUGUGGAUCCAGUGGGCUUUGACCACGUAUGAACAGGUGGAUAAAGGAGGAAAAUGGCGGAAGAUGAGG